This 206-nucleotide ribosomal RNA is filed under the name uncultured bacterium. Its description in RNAcentral is "partial 16S ribosomal RNA". It matches the Rfam family "Bacterial small subunit ribosomal RNA", at positions 524 to 731 of the family's 1533-position model. The record is from RNAcentral.
UACGGAGGGUGCAAGCGUUGUCCGGAUUUAUUGGGUUUAAAGGGUGCGUAGGCGGUCCAUUAAGUCUGGGGUGAAAGCCCGUUGCUCAACAACGGAACUGCCCUGGAAACUGGUGGACUUGAGUACAGACGAGGGUGGCGGAAUGGAUGCUGUAGCGGUGAAAUGCAUAGAUAGCAUCCAGAACCCCGAUUGCGAAGCAGCUCCUA